Molecule: ribosomal RNA, 116 nt
Filed under: Pteropus alecto (black flying fox)
Lineage: Eukaryota; Metazoa; Chordata; Mammalia; Chiroptera; Pteropodidae
Source: RNAcentral
GUCUAUGGCCAUACCACUCUGAACAAGCCCAGUGUCUGAUCUGGGAAGCUAAGCAGAUUCAGGCCUGGUUAAUACUUGGAAAGGAGACCACCUAGGAAGACCAGGUGCUGUAGACA